This 611-nucleotide ribosomal RNA is filed under the name uncultured bacterium. RNAcentral describes it as "bacterial SSU rRNA". The stretch from base 1 to 520 matches the Rfam family "Bacterial small subunit ribosomal RNA", at positions 338 to 873 of the family's 1533-position model. The record is from RNAcentral.
CCUACGGGAGGCAGCAGUGGGGAAUAUUGGACAAUGGGCGAAAGCCUGAUCCAGCAAUGCCGCGUGAGUGAUGAAGGCCUUAGGGUUGUAAAGCUCUUUUACCAGGGAUGAUAAUGACAGUACCUGGAGAAUAAGCUCCGGCUAACUCCGUGCCAGCAGCCGCGGUAAUACGGAGGGAGCUAGCGUUGUUCGGAAUUACUGGGCGUAAAGCGUACGUAGGCGGUUAUUCAAGUCAGAGGUGAAAGCCUGGAGCUCAACUCCAGAACUGCCUUUGAAACUAGAUAGCUAGAAUCUUGGAGAGGUGAGUGGAAUUCCGAGUGUAGAGGUGAAAUUCGUAGAUAUUCGGAAGAACACCAGUGGCGAAGGCGACUCACUGGACAAGUAUUGACGCUGAGGUACGAAAGCGUGGGGAGCAAACAGGAUUAGAUACCCUGGUAGUCCACGCCGUAAACGAUGAUAACUAGCUGUUCGGGCUCUACGAGCUUGUAGUGGCGCAGCUACGACAUUAAGUUAUUCCGUCCGUCGGGGUAGGUACGGUCGCGAGAAUUAAAACUUAAAGUAAGUAGUAGUACGUCGNGAGACGUCGACGACGACGACGACGGAGGGAGGAG